Molecule: long non-coding RNA, 739 nt
Filed under: Ictidomys tridecemlineatus (thirteen-lined ground squirrel)
Lineage: Eukaryota; Metazoa; Chordata; Mammalia; Rodentia; Sciuridae
Description: lncRNA (ENSSTOG00000034443.1)
Source: RNAcentral
CCCCUGGUUUUUCUGAGACUUGUCAUUUCUAUAUUUCACAAUUUAAGGGCUCGUGGGAGCACCGUCUCUGGGCUCUCGUGGUUUCUCAAUGUCAUUUCUGUCGUCUCUCUAAGUCACAUUUGGACGGUGUCAGCUUCUUUUCUUGAGGAUCGCUUCGGCAUUGCUCUAUUUCCAUCUGAAGUUGAAUGUGGAUCUGCUGAAACCUGCCGUCACCUGGGGAUGAGGGAAAAGGAGUCCUACGUGUGCAGAGCUGUCACAGACCUUCAUACCCACGGUACCUUACCAGGGAGUGUCAGCACCAGCCACCGAGGUCGCCUUUCACAGGCAUGUGUGUCCUUUGCAAUCUGGGGAUUUGAGUGUCAUCUUACUUUGAAAGACUGUCUUGCUUUUUUGCCUCUAAUAUUUAUUCUGGGGGCUGUUUUGUUCUCUCUCUGAACCUCCAGAAGUCUUGUUGCCUCCCACACGGAUUAAUUCAGCUACACGGAAAAGGAGGGCGAGCUCAUCCUCCAUACACUCCAAUUAAUCAAUCAUCCUAGACCCCGGGAUCCGGGGUGAUGGCGUUCGUUGGAAAGAGCAGACGUGUUGCUGUCAGGCCUAGGACAUGGCGUCAAAUGACAGAAAGACCUGGGACCAGCAACUUGACUUUUUUUUCAAGCCUCGGUUUGCUGAUCCACAGCACCCAAGUCCUGAAGCUGGUGAGAAGACCAAAGGCAACCUAGGAGAAGACCCCAGGGCCAGC